CAUGUACAAACGCAAACCGUUUCGAAAGAGCGGGACGCAAAGUCAGGAAUCUGAUGCCCCUUAAGUCCGGGCUAUGGUCGUCCGGCCGCCGUG
Molecule: regulatory RNA element, 93 nt
Organism: Paenibacillus sp. FSL R5-0912
Lineage: Bacteria; Bacillati; Bacillota; Bacilli; Caryophanales; Paenibacillaceae
Rfam family: c-di-GMP-I riboswitch aptamer
About the family: GEMM was predicted in a large-scale screen for bacterial structured RNA regulatory elements. Genes associated with GEMM are involved in a diverse array of functions, including chemotaxis regulation, signal transduction, secretion and chitin.
Source: Rfam